RNAcentral lists this unclassified non-coding RNA (679 nucleotides) under Hevea brasiliensis (rubber tree). Lineage: Eukaryota; Viridiplantae; Streptophyta; Magnoliopsida; Malpighiales; Euphorbiaceae. The record is from RNAcentral.
AUCUGAAACUAAUGAUCUAAAGGAGCCACUGAGAAUUUUUAAUUGGUGUUUAAGUUUGAUGUGUUGCCAACCUUGAGCAUGAAUUUAUGAUGAUUCAAUGUGUUAAUGGUUUGUAAACACUUUGUAAAUAGAAAUUGUUUUGAAUAUGAUUUGAAACCACAGUUGACAUGACAAAAUAUGUUGUGAAUUCUCAUUAGCUUGUCUAGUGAGAUAUCUCCUCCACUAGAUGGGGUGAGUUCCUUCCUCUCUGGCUUGCCAGUUGGGGAAGAGUUUGAAUGAGUACUCAUAUAUACUAGCUAGUCUUUGUUCCUCCCUUUUAGCCUCGGUUAUUGGGAGAGUUUGAAAUGUCAUGGUGUACAACACGGCAUCUAUUUGAAUUUUGGGUCAUGGGUUCAACUGUGUUAAUUGUUGGUAAUGCCCUUUAAAUUAAGCAUAGUUUGAUAAAUUGUGGUUGAAAUAAAUAAUUUAUCGGUAAUUCAAAAUAUUUUUGUAUUGUUUCAAGAUUUAAAAGAAAUGUAGAUAAACAAUUACUAUUUGAUCAAAAUAUUAUUCAAAUGAAUAAUUUGCAUGAAUAAAAAUAUUGAUUUCUGAAUGUUAUGAAUUUUGAAGAAUUUAGAAAUUUUAAAUUUUUAUUUAUUAUGAAUUGUAAAGCAUAACUUGUAUUAAGUUUUAAAUUAUU